Molecule: ribosomal RNA, 266 nt
Filed under: uncultured bacterium
Lineage: Bacteria
Description: partial 16S ribosomal RNA
Rfam family: Bacterial small subunit ribosomal RNA
Source: RNAcentral
GUCCUAGCCGUAAACGGUGCACGUUUGCUGUAAAAGGAAUCGACCCCUUUUGUGGCGUAGCCAACGCGUUAAACGUGCCGCCUGGGAAGUACGGUCGCAAGAUUAAAACUCAAAGAAAUUGACGGGGCCUGCACAAGCGGUGGAGUAUGUGGCUCAAUUCGAUGCAACGCGAAGAACCUUACCUGGCCUUGACAUGUAUGUAGUAGAAGGGUGAAAGCCUGACGAGGUAGCAAUACCAGCAUACACAGGUGCUGCAUGGCUGUCGU